GAUUCUUGAGAAUAGGGACAAAACAGGUCCCAUGGAUAAAGUACAAAAUUUGAAUAAAAUAUACACCAAAUAUAUAUUUUUUAAAUAUCUGACUAAACUAACCUGGGUCAUCUGAGCACAACAAUGUAUGUUUUCCUGGUGUUUGCUGAAUAUUUUUCUAUUUUAAACAUUGUAGUAGGUGAAUGGUGUCUGUAAAAGCCCUUGUCCUGGUGUAGAACUCAAUACAUUAUCAUAGUUUAAAAGAACUAAAAUAAUUAUAUUUAGUUGUCAUAAUAUAUUAUUUUAUAAGUAUUCAAACAACUAACUUCAUAACUAUCAAUGAAUGCAAUUAAAAGUCAUUUAAUGUAUUUUCAAAUUCAAUUGAAAUUGUGUCCUCAGUUUUUGUCAACACCGUCAGACAUAGAAAGAAUGUGAAAAAAAUCAGGCAUUAUUGAAGGGCACCAGAAAUUCUGAGGACCCCAUGACCACUUCCUUUCUCUUCCUGUGCUUGGGGGGAUAAGCAGCUCUGGCUACAAUGGCCAGAGAAAAGCUGUCAGUGGAGGAGCGCAAGAGAAGGAACAGGGAGUAUCAGAAAAGAAGGAGAGAAAAAAUAAAUAGCCAGCCUGAGCUGAAGGAAGAGUUUUUAAGAAAGGAAAGGAAAAGAUGGAGACAGAGAGUGGAAGAGGGAAAAAUAAAACAUAUCAAUAAUCUGGGUGAAAGAGAUAAGAGACGUAAGAGAAGACUUUGGAAGCAAAAACAAAAGGAGGCAAGA
Molecule: long non-coding RNA, 751 nt
Organism: Xiphophorus maculatus (southern platyfish)
Lineage: Eukaryota; Metazoa; Chordata; Actinopteri; Cyprinodontiformes; Poeciliidae
Exons: 2
Source: RefSeq, a predicted model, not a curated record